RNAcentral lists this ribosomal RNA (292 nucleotides) under uncultured bacterium. RNAcentral describes it as "partial 16S ribosomal RNA". It matches the Rfam family "Bacterial small subunit ribosomal RNA", at positions 505 to 796 of the family's 1533-position model. The record is from RNAcentral.
GUGCCAGCAGCCGCGGUAAUACGUAGGGGGCGAGCGUUGUCCGGAUUCAUUGGGCGUAAAGCGCGUGUAGGCGGCAGUUUAAGUCGGCCGUGAAAUCUCCGGGCUUAACCCGGAGGGGUCGGGCGAGACUGGACUGCUCGAGGUGGGCAGAGGGCGGUGGAAUUCCGGGUGUAGUGGUGGAAUGCGUAGAGAUCCGGAGGAACACCAGUGGCGAAGGCGGCCGCCUGGGCCUGGCCUGACGCUGAGACGCGAAAGCGUGGGGAGCGAUCCGGAUUAGAAACCCUCGUAGUCC